This 226-nucleotide ribosomal RNA is filed under the name uncultured bacterium. RNAcentral's name for it is "partial 16S ribosomal RNA". It matches the Rfam family "Bacterial small subunit ribosomal RNA", at positions 118 to 345 of the family's 1533-position model. The record is from RNAcentral.
UGAGCAAUCUGCCCUUCACAUCGGAAUAACCAUUGGAAACGAUGGCUAAUACCGAAUAUGACUUCGGAUCGCAUGAUCUGAAGUGGAAAGCUCCGGCGGUGAAGGAUGAGCUCGCGGCCUAUCAGCUUGUUGGUGAGGUAAUAGCUCACCAAGGCGAUGACGGGUAGCCGGCCUGAGAGGGUGACCGGCCACACUGGGACUGAGACACGGCCCAGAUCCGUACGGG